Molecule: long non-coding RNA, 921 nt
Organism: Arabidopsis thaliana (thale cress)
Lineage: Eukaryota; Viridiplantae; Streptophyta; Magnoliopsida; Brassicales; Brassicaceae
Product: other RNA
Exons: 1
Source: RefSeq
GGAUCAUGUUUGGUUUCUUGUUUCAGUCUUUAGAUAAAGAAACACUCACGGCUUAAAACAGAAAAAUAAAAAUAAAAGAAUGUGUUGCUCUUUUUGUUUGUUAUGGGAUCAGCCAAUCAAUAUUUCACCAACUUGCUAAUAUGUAAAAGACAGACAAAUAGGAGUAACAGUGAAGAUGAUGGUUGUGAUGUGAUGAAACCUAUGCCGUUUAAGAAAAGUGAGUAUCAAUUAGCUGAGCUUUGUAAAGUAAGAAUGAACAAGUUCCAAAAUAUUUAGAUCCAAAAGAUCUUCCUAUGGAGCUUGGUUGUGAAAAUGCUAACUGAGAUUUCUCCAGCAUGCACCCAUUGUUGCAAAAGCUUUCCCUGCGAUUUUAUACAAACAAACAAACAAAAUGUCACCAUAAUGUAUGAAUGUUUGUUCACCAUGACAAUUGUUUUAGGUAGUUUGCUAGAGUUGUUAACCUCGUGGUAUCGAGUAACCAUGUGGCUAUGCCUUUUCUUCUAUUAGAAGGUGAGACCCAAAUCGCUCUAAUCCCACAAACAGCUGGUUUAGCUUCUUCUUCACAUACAAUGACUCCGUUAUCUAAUCUAUCAUCUGAUGUUCGACAUCUUUUCGAUACCUCUCUUUGUAGAACAAUGUUUCCAAACUGAAUGGAGGUUGAAGGCGAGGAUGAGCUCUCUUUUUGUAACUGUCUUUCAUCAUCAGGAGAAGCUAUGAGCUUAAAUGCUUCCUUAAUUGGUUCAGCAACUAGACAUCCAGAGAUCCUCUGAGAGGAUAUGAAUAGAUAAACCUACACAUAACAAGAUAGUUUCUAAAACAACUGAGGAAAGUAAUUAGGGGUUAUAUCAUCUUUCUUGUGAAUUUAUUGAAAUGAGGUCAUCUAAAGAUAUCAUAGACUUUUUUGUUUGAUUUCAAUGCUAG